Molecule: long non-coding RNA, 872 nt
Organism: Drosophila ficusphila
Lineage: Eukaryota; Metazoa; Arthropoda; Insecta; Diptera; Drosophilidae
Exons: 2
Source: RefSeq, a predicted model, not a curated record
GUUUGAUUACCGUUGACAAGGAGGCGUGGAUCAAUUAACUUAUUGUGGUAAUAUCGAGUCCGUCGAUCUUAUUUAGUUUUUUUAGGAUUUUUUUUUGGAAUUGAUUGAACUAAAUAUUUCCUAGGAUUUGUACUAGUUUAUUUUUCUUCUAAUUAAUUUAAGGCUUUCUUAUGGCACCUUUGUGAGAGUUUAUUUAUUUAGCUAACUAAGCUAAUUUUUGCUAUCAACUUUUAAUUUCUUUUUAGUUUUAAAAUAAUUUGUUUCGUUUUGUUAUUUAAUAUUUGUGUGCACAGAUAUAUCACAAAAUAGCAACCAGAGUAUCGAUGAUGUAGGAUUUUUUACGUGUUUUAUUUUUGGCCAGGUCUUUAUGCAUUUUCAUCUAAUAAAUGCCAACAUUUGUUUAUGCAUUGCUUAACUAUUUAACAUUUGGAAAGACUUAUCACUCUCUCUUUAUGACACUUGGGGAAUUUUCAAAAAAUAUAAAUAUAUAUUUUGAUUUGUGCUUUGGCCGUUGGAAUUCACGUGGAAAUGCCGAAAAGUUUGGGAGAUUUCUUUGAGCGCCAGGCACAGUCUCAGUGUUCAGAAUUCAGUAUUCGCGCAGCGAGCGAAGAACGCAGAAUAAUAAGCAAAACAACAAACGCGGGGCGCCAAAGCCGAAAUUCAGAAGCAGAAAAUCGCAAGUUUCAGUCAGCUGUUCGGCUUUUUAUUUGGCCAAGUAGCUACGACAUAGUGAACGGUUGGUCAGAAGCUUUGCACUGCUUGCAAGCAGUGUGGAGGCAAGCUUUUGUGUGACGGCGCACAAAAGCAAUUGGCUCAGCUUGAUGGCGAACAUUUAACCAAAUGGGAAACUAUCAGAUUGUGGCCUCCAAAAA